AGAUUGAACGCUGGCGGCGUGCCUAACACAUGCAAGUCGAGCGGUAACAGGUGUAGCAAUACAUGCUGACGAGCGGCGAACGGGUGAGUAAUGCUUUGGAAUCUUCCCAGUAGUGGGGAAUAACCAGUCGAAAGAUUGGCUAAUACCGCAUACGUCUGUAAAGGGAAAGCGGGGGCUCGUAAGACCUCGCGCUAUUGGAUGAGCCAAAGUCGGAUUAGCUAGUUGGUGGGGUAAUGGCCUACCAAGGCGACAAUCCGUAGCUGGUCUGAGAGGACGACCAGCCACACCGGAACUGAGACACGGUCCGGACUCCUACGGGAGGCAGCAGUGGGGAAUAUUGGACAAUGGGGGAAACCCUGAUCCAGCGACGCCGCGUGUGUGAAGAAGGCCUGCGGGUUGUAAAGCACUUUUAGUGGGGACAAAAAGCUACGGAUUAAUACUCUGUGGUCUUGAUUUAACCCAAGAAAAGCACCGGCUAACUCUGCGCCAGCAGCCGCGGUAA
This 502-nucleotide ribosomal RNA is filed under the name uncultured bacterium. RNAcentral's name for it is "SSU rRNA". It matches the Rfam family "Bacterial small subunit ribosomal RNA", at positions 26 to 523 of the family's 1533-position model. The record is from RNAcentral.